GACGAACGCUGGCGGCGUGCUUAACACAUGCAAGUCGAACGGGAUUUAGUAAACAGCAGCCUCGGUGGAAGAUUACUAAUGAGAGUGGCGAACGGGUGAGUAACGCGUGAGCAACCUGCCUAUGACAGUGGGAUAGCCUCGGGAAACCGGGAUUAAUACCGCAUAAAAUCGUAGAAACACAUGUUUUAACGGUCAAAGAUUUAUCGGUCAUAGAUGGGCUCGCGUCUGAUUAGCUAGUUGGUGAGAUAACAGCCCACCAAGGCGACGAUCAGUAGCCGGUCUGAGAGGAUGAACGGCCACAUUGGAACUGAGACACGGUCCAAACUCCUACGGGAGGCAGCAGUGGGGAAUAUUGCACAAUGGGGGAAACCCUGAUGCAGCGACGCCGCGUGAACGAAGAAGGUAUUCGUAUCGUAAAGUUCUGUCCUAUGGGAAGAUAAUGACAGUACCAUAGAAGAAAGCUCCGGCUAAAUACGU
This 477-nucleotide ribosomal RNA is filed under the name uncultured bacterium. RNAcentral's name for it is "partial 16S ribosomal RNA". It matches the Rfam family "Bacterial small subunit ribosomal RNA", at positions 28 to 506 of the family's 1533-position model. The record is from RNAcentral.